This 75-nucleotide transfer RNA is filed under the name Comamonas kerstersii. Its description in RNAcentral is "tRNA-Arg". It matches the Rfam family "tRNA". From Rfam's summary of the family: Transfer RNA (tRNA) molecules are approximately 80 nucleotides in length. The record is from RNAcentral. Lineage: Bacteria; Pseudomonadati; Pseudomonadota; Betaproteobacteria; Burkholderiales; Comamonadaceae. RNAcentral also lists the same sequence under 2 other names.
GUCCCGGUAGUUCAAUGGAUAGAACAAUUUCCUCCUAAGAAAUAGAUACAGGUUCGAUUCCUGUCCGGGAUACCA